Molecule: ribosomal RNA, 1346 nt
Filed under: uncultured bacterium
Lineage: Bacteria
Description: partial 16S ribosomal RNA
Rfam family: Bacterial small subunit ribosomal RNA
Source: RNAcentral
GACGAACGCUGGCGGCGUGCUUAACACAUGCAAGUCGAACGGAAAGGCCCUGCUUUUGUGGGGUGCUCGAGUGGCGAACGGGUGAGUAACACGUGAGUAACCUGCCCUUGACUUUGGGAUAACUUCAGGAAACUGGGGCUAAUACCGGAUAGGAGCUCCUGCUGCAUGGUGGGGGUUGGAAAGUUUCGGCGGUUGGGGAUGGACUCGCGGCUUAUCAGCUUGUUGGUGGGGUAGUGGCUUACCAAGGCUUUGACGGGUAGCCGGCCUGAGAGGGUGACCGGCCACAUUGGGACUGAGAUACGGCCCAGACUCCUACGGGAGGCAGCAGUGGGGAAUAUUGCACAAUGGGCGGAAGCCUGAUGCAGCAACGCCGCGUGCGGGAUGACGGCCUUCGGGUUGUAAACCGCUUUCGCCUGUGACGAAGCGUGAGUGACGGUAAUGGGUAAAGAAGCACCGGCUAACUACGUGCCAGCAGCCGCGGUGAUACGUAGGGUGCGAGCGUUGUCCGGAUUUAUUGGGCGUAAAGGGCUCGUAGGUGGUUGAUCGCGUCGGAAGUGUAAUCUUGGGGCUUAACCCUGAGCGUGCUUUCGAUACGGGUUGACUUGAGGAAGGUAGGGGAGAAUGGAAUUCCUGGUGGAGCGGUGGAAUGCGCAGAUAUCAGGAGGAACACCAGUGGCGAAGGCGGUUCUCUGGGCCUUUCCUGACGCUGAGGAGCGAAAGCGUGGGGAGCGAACAGGCUUAGAUACCCUGGUAGUCCACGCUGUAAACGGUGGGUACUAGGUGUGGGGUCCAUUCCACGGGUUCCGUGCCGUAGCUAACGCUUUAAGUACCCCGCCUGGGGAGUACGGCCGCAAGGCUAAAACUCAAAGGAAUUGACGGGGCCCCGCACAAGCGGCGGAGCAUGCGGAUUAAUUCGAUGCAACGCGUAGAACCUUACCUGGGUUUGACAUGGAUCGGGAGUGCUCAGAGAUGGGUGUGCCUCUUUUGGGGUCGGUUCACAGGUGGUGCAUGGCUGUCGUCAGCUCGUGUCGUGAGAUGUUGGGUUAAGUCCCGCAACGAGCGCAACCCUUGUUCACUGUUGCCAGCACGUUAUGGUGGGGACUCAGUGGAGACCGCCGGGGUCAACUCGGAGGAAGGUGGGGAUGACGUCAAGUCAACAUGCCCCUUAUGUCCAGGGCUUCACGCAUGCUACAAUGGCUGGUACAGAGAGUGGCGAGCCUGUGAGGGUGAGCGAAUCUCGGAAAGCCGGUCUCAGUUCGGAUUGGGGUCUGCAACUCGACCUCAUGAAGUCGGAGUCGCUAGUAAUCGCAGAUCAGCAACGCUGCGGUGAAUACGUUCCCGGGGCU